This 253-nucleotide ribosomal RNA is filed under the name uncultured bacterium. RNAcentral's name for it is "partial 16S ribosomal RNA". It matches the Rfam family "Bacterial small subunit ribosomal RNA", at positions 524 to 776 of the family's 1533-position model. The record is from RNAcentral.
GACAGAGGUGCCAAGCGUUAGGCGGAAUCACUGGGCUUAAAGCGUGUGUAGGCGGAUUUGUAAGUACCUUGUGAAAUCCCACAGCUCAACUGUGGAACUGCUUGGUAUACUGCUUAUCUUGAGCCACUUAGGGGCUGUCGGAACAAAUGGUGGAGCGGUGAAAUGCGUAGAUAUCAUUUGGAACGCCAACGGUGAAAACAGACAGCUGGGAGUGUGCUGACGCUGAGACACGAAAGCCAGGGGAGCGAACGGG